Molecule: long non-coding RNA, 3462 nt
Organism: Ictalurus punctatus (channel catfish)
Lineage: Eukaryota; Metazoa; Chordata; Actinopteri; Siluriformes; Ictaluridae
Exons: 2
Source: RefSeq, a predicted model, not a curated record
CACAGCUGCGCCUGCUUAUGACUCAUUUGAGUCACUUAACGCAACAACAACAACAAAAAGGUGAAACCUGUUAAGAGGAAAGCAACUGAAAGCUACUCACAUAGUAGUCUCGGAUCACGGCGUAUGAAGAACGAAGUGCUUUCAAUCUGACUGGAAAUCCCUCAACGAAGGAGCAGCAGCUGUCUUUGCAGAUGAUCUUUGUGCACUGAGCGGCCCUAAGCAGCAGAACAGUCAGCAAAGAAAGCAGGAGGAACCUAAGCAGGAGCAUUCUCGAAGAUCUCGUCACACCGGUAUUAACCCUUUCGUAAGCCUGCAGCUGAAUCCUCAGGGGGAGGAGAAGUGCAGAAAAGCUCAGAGGUGCCUUUUUUAUAGCCCAAAAAUUCCUUCCCAUUUGGAGGUGUGAGCAUUUACUGGAAAAUUGAUUACUUAUCUCUUUUUUUUCUUCUUUUUUGGCUCGUCAUCAUUCAUUGAUGAGGCAUAUUUUACAUUUUUUGUAUUGCAUCAUUGGAAAUAUUUUCAUGAAUGAAUUGCAAACUCAUCUUGUUCUUUAUAAACCUACAGAGAGUUUUCUAGAUGUAUGCCAUUUUAAUUUAUAUUUAGAUAUUCCUUUAUUUUCUAGAUGCUACUUUCAUUUAUUAUUUUUUAAAAAGGCUGUCCUGCUUAAUUACUGGUGUUACAUUAGAUUUAUUAAUCCUAAUGGCAGAAUGGACAACUAUUCAUAGUAUGUAGCAGGUUAUUCAUUUUUACAAUGAAUAAUUAAUUUUAUAAAUGAACAGUCUUGUUCAUUCCGGUGAUCACCCUUUGCGACAGGUGUAGAUAAUAAGGAGGUAUUUAAACCCGAGUCACAAUAGGGCAUUUAUGUUUGAAUAAUUCCUCGAUUAUGAAUACCACCAUUAAAUGAGCGAUCUCAUGUUUUAUAAUUAACCACAACUUUAUGCAUUGAAAAGCAUCAGGUUAUCUAAUACACCACUUGGCUUGGAUUUGGAUAGACACUAGGGUUUAUUUAGUUAACAGUCUUAUAUUCCAGUUAUGUAGCUUAUAUGGUGUAUGGGAUGAUAGCUAAGCAAAUUCAUAAAGAGUUCUAUUAUUAGAUUCUGAAUUAUUAUUAGACUUGGUGCCAUUUUUUUUCAUUGGUGUGCCUUUUAAACAUCUGUUUAUUUCCCACAUCUGCCCUAUAUGAUUGAUUCUCUUAAAUGCAGACAGUUUACAGAAAAGAGGUUUAGGGUGGAGUUCAUCUAGGUAAACAGAAUGAGUGUGAAUGACUUGCAGUUCCAUGAUCUUAGUGAUAAAUCAGCCGCUGUUCAGGUUAACCCCUAAAUCUAGCAUCUGAGAUGUAAUGUGGUGAACCCAGCCCAUGAUGUAAACACCUCUUCCCGCUGUCUCAAAUGUGCUGAGGUGAGCAAUCGUCUUUACAACGAAGGCUUUGGUUUUGAUUACUGUAAUCCACUACUGAUUGUAAGACAGCUCACGUGUGUGUGAGUAUGAGAACUCAGACUUCCUGAUGCUUUUUAAUUUUGGACUCUUCAGUUUAUUUCCCUUAAAGAUUCUAUGUAUUACCCUACAACUGGUUAUAAAUAGAAGGUUUAGAACCAUUAACCACCCAAAGAACCUUUGAGGAACCAUUUUCCAAAGUUGUUGAGUAUCCAUCAUUUUGGUGUUUUAAAAUCAUCACAUUUAAAAAGAUCACUUUUAUUAUUUGUUAUAGGCCUUUGUCAUCUUUUAGCUCUCUCUCUCUUAUGUGGUGUGCCACUUGGUGGGGCAAAAGUGCCCAUGAUGCGUGUUCCUGCAUCUUUGAAAGCCAAGCAGGGACUCUGGAGCUGUGCCAUGAUUCAUAUAAUAAGGUAACUUUAAAAAUACACAUUCUGCUCUGUCAUAAGCUGUGUAUGCCACAUGCACCUUUGUCAGUCUCUUAAGUAGUGGAUUUUAGAGGAUUUGGAAUAGGUAGUUUAUCAGUAAUUCUUUCCAUCACUGAUAAAAUUCAACCUCAGAUUCAACCUUUUGUUUUGAUCAGGUUGUGUUUCUCAAGUGUCAACACCACAAAGAUUUCAAACACUUUACAAGAAUCUAAUCAUUCAUAAUAUUACCUGCAGUAAUAACUUAUGAGUCAGACUCUUUGCACUCCUGAUCAAAUCUGAGACUUGAAAGAAUGCUGCAAGGUGGUUGCGAUAUGAAAAUGAACUUGCUUGGUGCUAAAGGUGGUAUUAGGGGCAGCAGGAUGGUGACAGAUACUCAUUUUUAACGCAUAGGCAUUAAUCACAGAAUAAUUUUGACGAACUUUGUGGUUUUAUACUUCUUUUUUAGUGUGUGUCAUGGGAAUGUGUAUUAAUAGGGUAUGAACCAGAUUUAUUAGCACCGACAUUGAUAAGGAUCUUAAACAAUGUCAGAGCAUGAUGAAUAUCUAUGAACUGCAUCAGCAAAUGUAUGCGUCAACUGGCGUCAUCUUUUUUUUUUUCCUUUUCUUUUUUUUUUUUGCGUAGCAAAUGAAAAUGCGUGUGCUCGCAUUUUCACCGAGCAAAUCUUUGUUUUACAUAGAAUUGUACUCAAUUGACUAUUUUACCUAAAGAUUGACCAUAAGAAAUUUGAUUUGAGCACGUUCACGUUUGGUUAGCACGUUCGCCUCACACCUCCAGGGUCUGGGGUUCGAUUCCCACCGUGGCCCUGUGUGUGCGGAGUUUGCAUGUUCUCCCCGUGCUGUGGGGGUUUCCUCCGGGUACUCCGGUUUCCUCCCCCAGUCCAAAGACAUGCAUGGUAGGCUGAUUGGCGUGUCUAAAGUGUCCGUAGUGUAUGAAUGGGUGUGUGAGUGUGUAUGUGAUUGUGCCCUGUGAUGGACUGGCACCCUGUCCAGGGUGUACCCCGCCUUGUGCCCCAUGCUCCCUGGGAUUGGCUCCAGGUUCCCCCGUGACCCUGAAGAAGGAAUAAGCGGUAGAAGAUGGAUGGAAGGAUGUCACUGAUUUUCCUUUACAUCAGAAAUUAAGAUCACAAAGUGUGCAGUCCGUACCAGGUGUCCUAAAGUCUCCAUAUAUAGGGGAAAUUAGCACUUUGUUUUGUUUUGUUUAUUUUUUUUAAGCAAAAUGUCUUCCUAAAUUUUUCUUACUUGUAUUAUAUAAUAUAUAAAUAUAUAUAUUUUCCAGAUAGCCUUUAAGAAUGCCUUUGACAAAAGAAGGACGUAUUGAAAACGUCCCUAUGGCUGGAUCAGGAAGCUGUCACUAGGUUGCGAUGGACAUGCGAUUCCAUGCAUAACACCAGAUGUGUUAAUGCGAGUUCAUGAUGAGUGGAAGUGAUGACUCUGUGUGUGUUUACAAAGAAAUGGCAAUCAACUAGAGGAUAUUUUGUAUUUAAAUAGAGGGAUUUUUCGGUUUGUUUGUUUGUUUUUUUAAAUGCCAAAUGUCCUUUGAGGCAUCCAUGAAUGCGAUUAAAGUGUUUUUUGCCGGUCUGUAUCAAUAUGUUGCUGGCUUCGGGAAA